ACGAACGCUGGCGGCGUGCUUAACACAUGCAAGUCGAACGAUCAAGGCUCACUUCGGUGAGUGUAUAGAGUGGCGAACGGGUGAGUAACACGUGGGAAACCUGCCCCUUUCUUCGGGAUAACUUCGGGAAACCGUUGCUAAUACCGGAUACUCCGGGAUGGUCGCAUGGCCGACCCGGGAAAGCUUUAUGUGGAAAGGGAUGGUCCCGCGGCCCAUUAGCUUGUUGGUGGGGUAAUGGCCUACCAAGGCAAUGAUGGGUAGCCG
RNAcentral lists this ribosomal RNA (264 nucleotides) under uncultured bacterium. RNAcentral's name for it is "partial 16S ribosomal RNA". It matches the Rfam family "Bacterial small subunit ribosomal RNA", at positions 29 to 289 of the family's 1533-position model. The record is from RNAcentral.